AUGAAAUUAUUUCUUGAUGUGAAAUGCCCUGUUUUCAUUUUCCAGAUGCCAAAUGCCUUUUUACAAGCAAAGCCUGCACCAAAUUUGGUCCAACACUUCAGCAUUUUCAUCAUGAUGACGCUGAUCCACUUCCCUGGCACUAAACAGCACUGAUUUUAUUUUUCAGGUACAACUGUACAGAGAUAUGGCAUGAGUUUGUAAAAGCCUAUGUGAACCGGGACCCUUGUAAUAUCCCCAUGAAUGCCUUCGACUCUUUAGUUGCUGUGGCGCCCUUUGAACAUGCAUGCGACAAAAUGAUGUUCUGGAGUAAAACAAAGAAUCUGGUCCGUGACUUAACUAAGAACAGGGAUGAUGUUGUCGCUUUGGAGGACACUCUGCUGGGAUCUGUGCUGGGUGGUCUGCACUGGUGUGGAGAGAAGGGCAACAGUGUUUGCAGAUUUUGCCUGUGAUGAUGUCACAGCAAUGCUAGACGGAUCCAUCGACACACCAUUUGAUCCUGAAAGGUGAGCACCUCUAAUGCUGCCCA
Notothenia coriiceps (black rockcod) is the source of this 526-nucleotide long non-coding RNA. RefSeq lists it as uncharacterized. The transcript has 3 exons. NCBI's taxonomy places the organism in Eukaryota, Metazoa, Chordata, Actinopteri, Perciformes, Nototheniidae. The record is from RefSeq and is a predicted model, not a curated record.